GACGAACGCUGGCGGCGUGCUUAACACAUGCAAGUCGAACGGAAAGGCCCUGCUUUUGUGGGGUGCUUGAGUGGCGAACGGGUGAGUAACACGUGAGUAACCUGCCCUUGUCUUUGGGAUAUAUUCAGGAAAAUGGGGCUAAUACCGGAUAGGAGCUCCUGCUGCAUGGUGGGGGUUGGAAAGUUUCGGCGGUUGGGGAUGGUCUCGCGGCUUAUCCGCUUGUUGGUGGGGUAGUGGCUUACCAAGGCUUUGACGGGUAGCCGGCCUGGGAGGGUGACCGGCCACAUUGGUACUGAGAUACGGCCCAGACUCCUACGGUAGGCAGCAGUGGGGAAUAUGGCACAAUGGGCGGAAGCCUGAUGCAGCAACGCCGCGUGCGUGAUGACGGCCUUCGGGUUGUAAACCGCUUUCGCCUGUGACGAAGCGUGAGUGACGGUAAUGAGUAAAGAAGCACCGGCUAACUACGUG
RNAcentral lists this ribosomal RNA (468 nucleotides) under uncultured bacterium. RNAcentral's name for it is "partial 16S ribosomal RNA". It matches the Rfam family "Bacterial small subunit ribosomal RNA", at positions 28 to 507 of the family's 1533-position model. The record is from RNAcentral.